This 418-nucleotide ribosomal RNA is filed under the name Gammaproteobacteria bacterium. Its description in RNAcentral is "partial 23S ribosomal RNA". It matches the Rfam family "Bacterial large subunit ribosomal RNA", at positions 2524 to 2925 of the family's 2925-position model. The record is from RNAcentral. Lineage: Bacteria; Pseudomonadati; Pseudomonadota; Gammaproteobacteria.
CCUCGAUGUCGGCUCAUCACAUCCUGGGGCUGAAGCCGGUCCCAAGGGUAUGGCUGUUCGCCAUUUAAAGUGGUACGCGAGCUGGGUUUAGAACGUCGUGAGACAGUUCGGUCCCUAUCUGCCGUGGGCGUUGGAGAUUUGAGAAGAGUUGCUCCUAGUACGAGAGGACCGGAGUGAACGAACCUCUGGUGUUCCGGUUGUCACGCCAGUGGCAUUGCCGGGUAGCUAUGUUCGGACAGGAUAACCGCUGAAAGCAUCUAAGCGGGAAGCCCCCUUCAAGAUAAGAUCUCUCUGGGAACUUGAUUCCCCUGAAGAGCCGUUGAAGACUACAACGUUGAUAGGCUGGGUGUGGAAGUGCAGCAAUGCAUGAAGCUAACCAGUACUAAUUGCUCGUGAGGCUUGACCAUAUAACACCCAA